GAAAUAAAAUUUCAGUUUAUUGAAAUAAAAAAGAAAUACAACACAAGUUUAAAAUAGAGAAAAUUAAAAGAGGACACAUGCAAUAUGUAGGGCAGGGUAGGGUAAAUUAAUAAAUUUAAUUAUUCAACGUGUAUGUGGAUUAGUGUUGGUGGUAUGAGGGGGGUUAGUCCCAAAAGUAUUAUUGACAGCAUCGGCAGCACCUUUUGCCAUGUUAGCAGCACCAGAUGCAACCCCCUGUGCCAAGUGAAUUGCUCCUUGUGCUGCUCCUGAAGCUAUGUCUGCCGCUCCGUGUGCCAUCGUGUUCACUUCUCCUCCCGUCUGAUUCAGGAAGUUUGUGUUUUGCCCUUGAGGCUGGUUGGAUGCUUGGCUCAUCUGUGGCUGUGACUGUGACUGCAUGCACGCUCGCUCCAAUAAUUAAUUUUAUCAAAAAAAUUAACAAUCAAUUAAUGUACCUCUUUCUUUUUUUUCCAUUUUUCUUUAGGACAGACUAAGAAACUGUAUGAUCCUUGUACGUGCAGGAGUAAUUAAAAGGAAGGCUAGCUAGCUAGUAUUUAGAAAUUAUAUAUACAUAUAGCAGGUACGUACGUACCUGUUGGAAGAAUUCAUUAGCUUGCCCGGGUGCUUGGUCGUCCCUCUUCAACUACGCACGCACCAACGCAAGAGUUACAAUCUUAAUUACUCAUCAUUACCUAUCUAUCUCCAUAUAAUACUUAAAUCAAUAAAUCUGAAGGAUAGAUAGAGUGAUAUAUCACCUGAGGCUGUCCUGCAACUGGUUGGUUUGCCAUUUCCUUUCCUUUCCUUUUCCUUCUGAAUGAUUUUAUGUAUAAAUUAGAUAUGAUCGAUC
RNAcentral lists this long non-coding RNA (844 nucleotides) under Panax ginseng (ginseng). Its description in RNAcentral is "long non-coding RNA (PGIN_LNC013109)". The record is from RNAcentral. Lineage: Eukaryota; Viridiplantae; Streptophyta; Magnoliopsida; Apiales; Araliaceae.